RNAcentral lists this ribosomal RNA (505 nucleotides) under uncultured Sphingobacteriales bacterium. RNAcentral's name for it is "bacterial SSU rRNA". It matches the Rfam family "Bacterial small subunit ribosomal RNA", at positions 903 to 1382 of the family's 1533-position model. The record is from RNAcentral. Lineage: Bacteria; Pseudomonadati; Bacteroidota; Sphingobacteriia; Sphingobacteriales.
UGCGCCUUGCCAGCCCGCUCAGAAACUUAAAGGAAUUGACGGGGGCCCGCACAAGCGGUGGAGCAUGUGGUUUAAUUCGAUGAUACGCGAGGAACCUUACCUGGGCUCAAAUGUAUGUUGACGUAUUCUGAAAGGGAUACUUCUUCGGACAAUAUACAAGGUGCUGCAUGGUUGUCGUCAGCUCGUGCCGUGAGGUGUCGGGUUAAGUCCCAUAACGAGCGCAACCCCUAUCAUUAGUUGCCAUCAGGUCAAGCUGGGGACUCUAAUGAAACUGCCUACGCAAGUAGUGAGGAAGGUGGGGAUGACGUCAAAUCAGCACGGCCCUUACGUCCAGGGCUACACACGUGUUACAAUGGCCAGUACAGAGGGCAGCCACCCCGCGAGGGGGCGCUAAUCCUAAAAGCUGGUCCCAGUUCGGAUCGGAGUCUGCAACCCGACUCCGUGAAGCUGGAUUCGCUAGUAAUCGCGCAUCAGCCACGGCGCGGUGAAUACGUUCCCGGGCCUU